CGGAUCUCUUUUCUUUAUAAAUCACCUAGUCUGUGGUAUUCUGUUAUGGCCACCAGAGCAGGCUGCUACACUAUCUGCUACUAAAGAAGCCCAGCCCUUCUAAGAAUGAGAUUUCCAGGCCACAGCAGCAGCGCCGCCUGCUUCAGCAGCAGGAGAAAAAUAAAAUAUCAGUGGCUGUGAGGCAACUUCAAAAGUCCUAAUUACAUAUAAUUAAAGGCAUAGAGGGAGAAGAUACAAAAGAGGGGAAAGAAAAUAUAUUGGAAGAAAUAAUGGCUGAAGAUUUUCCAAAUUUGACGAACACUAUAAAUGAACAGACCCAAGAAUUUCAGUGAACCCCAAGCACAAGAAAUAAGGAGGAAAUGACACCAACUCAGAUCAAAUUUCCCAAACCAACGAUGAAGAGAAAAUCUUUAAAACACCAAGAGGGGAAAAAAGAUGCAUAUGUGCAGGGGGGACGACUAAAGGAUGACAGCUUAUUUCUGCCCUGCUGUGCCAGCCUGAACCCCUCAUCGGAAGCAGAUGCCGACACCACGCUCCUCAUAUGACCCUCAGGACAUGGGCCAAAUAAAUCUCCUUUCUUUAUAUAUUAUUCAGCCUCUGGUAUUCCUUUCUAGCAACACUAAAUAAACUAAGACAGAAAACAGAGCAAUACUUUGUAGUGGAGUGACAAUAGCUGAAAACAAAAACUAUCAACAUAUAAUCUUAUACCCAGCAAAAAUAUCUGUCAAACAAUGAAGGCAAAAAUACUUUUUCAGACAUACAAAAGAUUGAAACAAUUUAUUACCAGAAAUGUAAAAGGAAGUCCUUCAGAAAAAAGGAGUAUGAUACCAAAUGGAGAUAUGAAAUUACACAAAGGAAUUAACACCAGACCUAGUUACUACAAGGGCAAAUGUAGAAGAUAUUUUUCUUAUUAUUUAAAUAUUUUAAAAGGAUAAUUAACUAUUUAAAUAAAACUAAUAAUUAAUAAUAUAUUAUGAAAUUUAUACUUUAUAAGUAAAAUCCAUGGUCAUAGUAGUAGAAAGGCUGGGAGGGAAGAAAUAGAGUAUAAUAUUGUAUGGCUUAUAUACUACAGAAGUAGUAUAAUAUUAUUGGAAAUUAGACUAAAUUUAAAAUGUUAUUUUAGUUUUCUAGAGCUGUCAUAACAAAUCACCACAAACUUGGUGUGAAAACAACAGAAAUUUAUUCUUUCAGAGUUCUGGAGGCCAAAAGUCUGAAAAUAGUAUCACUGGGUAAAUGAAGGUACUGACAGGCCAUUCUUGCUCUGGAGGCUUUAGAGGAAAAUCCAUUCCCUGCCUCUUCCACCUUCCACUGCUGCUGGCAUUUCUUGCCUUGUGACUGCAUCACUUGCAUCUUUGAGGCCACCAUUUUCAAACAUCUUUUUUCUCCAUCAUCAAGUCAUCUAUUUAUCCCUGUGUGUCAAAUAUCCCUCUGCUCCUCUUAUAAGGAUACAUGUAAUUGCACUUAGGGCCCACUCAGAUAUUCCAAGAUAAUCUCCUAAUUUCAAGAUCUUGAACUUAAUAACAUCUGCAAAAGUCCUUUUCCUAAAUAAGAUAACACUUACAGUUUCCAGUUUUGAUGUUUGUUCCUUCAAAAUCUCAUGUUGAGAUUUGAUCCCAAAUGUUGGAGGUGAGGCCUAAUAGGAGGUUUACUAGAUAUCUUUGGGGGCUUUUACUCAACCUACUAUAAAUGUAUACUAUAAACCCUAAAGCAACUUUUAAAAUAAAAAAGACAACAAAGU
Microcebus murinus (gray mouse lemur) is the source of this 1738-nucleotide non-coding RNA. NCBI's taxonomy places the organism in Eukaryota, Metazoa, Chordata, Mammalia, Primates, Cheirogaleidae. The record is from RefSeq and is a predicted model, not a curated record.